CCUACGGGUGGCAGCAGUAGGGAAUCUUGCACAAUGGGCGAAAGCCUGAUGGAGCAACGCCGCGUGGAGGAUGAAGGCCUUAGGGUUGUAAACUGCUUUUAUAAGAGAGAAAAAUGAUGGUAACUUAUGAAUAAGCAUCGGCUAACUACGUGCCAGCAGCCGCGGUCAUACGUAGGAUCCGAGCUUUAUCCGGAGUGACUGGGGGUAAAGAGUUUGGGAGGGGGCAUCUGAAGUAGCUAGUGAAAUCCGGUGGCUCAACCAAUCAGACUAUUUGCAAAAAUGUUAAGCUAGAGUGCGUGAGGGGUAGCUGGAAUUUUUGGUGUAGGGGUGAAAUCCGUAGAUAUUAGAAGGAACACUAAUUGCGUAGGCAGGUUACUGGGACGUUACUGACACUCAUGCACGAAAGCGUGGGGAGCAAACAGGAUUAGAUACCCGAGUAGUC
This 442-nucleotide ribosomal RNA is filed under the name uncultured bacterium. RNAcentral describes it as "partial 16S ribosomal RNA". It matches the Rfam family "Bacterial small subunit ribosomal RNA", at positions 338 to 795 of the family's 1533-position model. The record is from RNAcentral.